This 658-nucleotide long non-coding RNA is filed under the name Chinchilla lanigera (long-tailed chinchilla). Its description in RNAcentral is "lncRNA (ENSCLAG00000029008.1)". The record is from RNAcentral. Lineage: Eukaryota; Metazoa; Chordata; Mammalia; Rodentia; Chinchillidae.
GGAAUUGGCAACCAGAGGCCUGGACCUUGGGCCGUCCAACCUGGGCGGAGAGGCAGAAGUUCCUAAACUUCGAGGGACAGACUCAGCGUCCUCAGCUGGAGAGGAAUGAGGUUGGUUUUGCACCUCUCUUCUUUGGUGUAGCCAGUGAAGAUUAAAACCAUGGUCCUCAGAAAGACGCUUUGGAUGAUAUUUCCAAGACAUAGCUGUGAGCCCAGAUGGCUUGAAGAUAAUACCAUCUGGAUGUUAUUCCAAACAGGAAGAAGACAGAGCUGCUCUCUCCCAAAUUCCCUUUAUGUGAAACCCCAGAAAGGACUCCGUGACUACGAUCUCCCUCCUUGGCUCCUCACGUGUGCAGCAAAUGGGCGCUGUGACUUCAUGCCUGAGGAGACUCCAAGAGAAACUUUCAACCAAGACCCCUGUAGGGAGAGGAAGAGGCCACUGAGGUGGGACAGUGACUGCACUGGAGAGGAGUGAGGGGUCGGGAAGCCCCAGCUGCAGCCUGCCUUCAUGAGAUACUGGAGCUUAUCCUGAGGGAAGGAGCCAGCCUGAGACAUCAGGACUGGGCCACUCAGAGACAAAUGAGAACACGGCCUGGGAUACCGUGCUGUGGGGGUGAAGAAUAAAUGUACAAUGCAGAAAUGCAAUUCCCCUACCACCA